This is a long non-coding RNA of Dreissena polymorpha, 572 nucleotides long. RefSeq lists it as uncharacterized. Lineage: Eukaryota; Metazoa; Mollusca; Bivalvia; Myida; Dreissenidae. The record is from RefSeq and is a predicted model, not a curated record. The transcript has 4 exons.
AUGACGUCAUCGUUUUGUGUGUACAUAGCAAGUGUCAACACCGACCGCUACUCGCAUUUCUUAUUAAAAAUGAUGACAAAACAAGUAUACAUAAUUAUCGAAGAAUAGGUCGCUUCAUGAUUAAGGUAUUUUCACAGGCCAAUGCAAGUCCUCCCUGGCGGCGCUACUCGUUUUCAAAUCCUGCUGAUAUGCAACCGCGGAAUGCGAAAAGGGGUCUUAUACCUAAUGCGGCGAGAGUAUCUCCAGACCAGCCUUCGCAGCCAGCCAGGACCAUGUCCGCUAUAAAGUCACUCAAGGUUUCGUAGUCUCGUGUUUUUGGGAUCAAGCUGCUGUUUCUGCUCCACAAAAGAAAACAACUUGAGACAAAAAACAAAACAACAUUCGAAAUGUGGCCGAUAUCUGGCCGAAAAAAAUGGCGACGACACACCGAUGAAAUAAAUAAAAAAGCCGCAACGGUCAAGAUGAAAAGUAACACUUAAUCACUUUAUUACCAACAUAAUAUAUUUUUUAGUUUUAUGUUGUACACAUCUUUCGCAUUGGCAGAUUUCUAAAUAAAAUAUCAUACUAUAUUA